RNAcentral lists this ribosomal RNA (253 nucleotides) under uncultured microorganism. RNAcentral's name for it is "partial 16S ribosomal RNA". It matches the Rfam family "Bacterial small subunit ribosomal RNA", at positions 524 to 776 of the family's 1533-position model. The record is from RNAcentral.
UACGUAGGGUGCGAGCGUUAAUCGGAGUUACUGGGCGUAAAGCGUGCGCAGGCGGCCCGUUAAGACAGGUGUGAAAUCCCUGGGCUCAACCUAGGAAUUGCGCUUGUGACUGGCGGGCUCGAGUACGGUAGAGGGGGGUGGAAUUCCUGGUGUAGCAGUGAAAUGCGUAGAGAUCAGGAGGAACACCGAUGGCGAAAGCAGCCCCCUGGGCCUGUACUGACGCUCAUGCACGAAAGCGUGGGGAGCAAACAGG